RNAcentral lists this ribosomal RNA (909 nucleotides) under Enterococcus faecium. RNAcentral's name for it is "bacterial SSU rRNA". It matches the Rfam family "Bacterial small subunit ribosomal RNA", at positions 36 to 915 of the family's 1533-position model. Lineage: Bacteria; Bacillati; Bacillota; Bacilli; Lactobacillales; Enterococcaceae. The record is from RNAcentral.
CUGGCGGCGUGCCUAAUACAUGCAAGUCGAACGCUUCUUUUUCCACCGGAGCUUGCUCCACCGGAAAAAGAGGAGUGGCGAACGGGUGAGUAACACGUGGGUAACCUGCCCAUCAGAAGGGGAUAACACUUGGAAACAGGUGCUAAUACCGUAUAACAAUCAAAACCGCAUGGUUUUGAUUUGAAAGGCGCUUUCGGGUGUCGCUGAUGGAUGGACCCGCGGUGCAUUAGCUAGUUGGUGAGGUAACGGCUCACCAAGGCCACGAUGCAUAGCCGACCUGAGAGGGUGAUCGGCCACAUUGGGACUGAGACACGGCCCAAACUCCUACGGGAGGCAGCAGUAGGGAAUCUUCGGCAAUGGACGAAAGUCUGACCGAGCAACGCCGCGUGAGUGAAGAAGGUUUUCGGAUCGUAAAACUCUGUUGUUAGAGAAGAACAAGGAUGAGAGUAACUGUUCAUCCCUUGACGGUAUCUAACCAGAAAGCCACGGCUAACUACGUGCCAGCAGCCGCGGUAAUACGUAGGUGGCAAGCGUUGUCCGGAUUUAUUGGGCGUAAAGCGAGCGCAGGCGGUUUCUUAAGUCUGAUGUGAAAGCCCCCGGCUCAACCGGGGAGGGUCAUUGGAAACUGGGAGACUUGAGUGCAGAAGAGGAGAGUGGAAUUCCAUGUGUAGCGGUGAAAUGCGUAGAUAUAUGGAGGAACACCAGUGGCGAAGGCGGCUCUCUGGUCUGUAACUGACGCUGAGGCUCGAAAGCGUGGGGAGCAAACAGGAUUAGAUACCCUGGUAGUCCACGCCGUAAACGAUGAGUGCUAAGUGUUGGAGGGUUUCCGCCCUUCAGUGCUGCAGCUAACGCAUUAAGCACUCCGCCUGGGGAGUACGACCGCAAGGUUGAAACUCAAAGGAAUUGACG